UACGUAGGGGGCAAGCGUUGUCCGGAAUUAUUGGGCGUAAAGAGCGUGUAGGCGGUCCGGUAAGUCAGCUGUGAAAGUCAAGGGCUCAACCCUUGAAUGCCGGUUGAUACUGUCGGGCUAGAGUCCGGAAGAGGCGAGUGGAAUUCCCGGUGUAGCAGUGAAAUGCGCAGAUAUCGGGAGGAACACCAAUGGCGAAGGCAGCUCGCUGGGACGGUACUGACGCUGAGACGCGAAAGCGUGGGG
This 243-nucleotide ribosomal RNA is filed under the name uncultured bacterium. RNAcentral describes it as "partial 16S ribosomal RNA". It matches the Rfam family "Bacterial small subunit ribosomal RNA", at positions 524 to 766 of the family's 1533-position model. The record is from RNAcentral.